CCCAGAAAUGGACACAGUCGCCUAAACAUGGCCUCACAGAGGUGGAGCAGAGAGGGAGGGAGGAUCACCUUUCUCAAUCUGCUGGCUGCACUCUUUUUAAUGCACCCCAGGAUACAUUAGCUUUCUUGGCCACAAGGGCACACUGCUGGCUCAUGACAAACCUGUUGUCCGCUUGGACUCUCAGAUUCUUCUUUGCACAAAUCCUCUCUAGCAGAUCAUCUACUAACCUGCACUGAUUGAUGCAAUUUGUCUACCCCAGGUGCAAGACUUUACACCUGCUCUUGAUAAAUCUCAUCAGACUCUUCCCUGCCCAAUUCUCUGGCCUGUCCAGGUCUUGUUGAAUGGUGGCACAGCCAUCAGGCAUGUCAGCCAAUUCUCCCAACUUUGUAUCACCAGCAAACUUGCUGAGGAUGGACUUUAUCUCUUCAUUCAAGUCACUGAUGAAGAUGUUGAACAACACUGGACCCAAUAUUGACCCCGGGGGAAUACCACUAGUUACCACUAGGCCUCCAGCUAGCCUCUGCACCACUGAACUCUUCCAGUCAGCCAGUUCUCAAUCUGCCUUAUUGUCCACUCAUCUACUCCACAUUUUCUAAGUUUCGUUAACAAGAAUGUUGUGGGAGAUGUUGUCAAAUGCCUUGCUGAAGUCAACAUCCACUGCUCUCCCACAUUUACCCAGCCAGUGAUGACAUCAUAGAAGUCUAUCAGGUUGGUCUAGAAUGAUUUCCCAUUGGAGAAUCCACUUUGACUACUCCUGAUAAUCUUCUUCUCUUCCAAUUGCUUGAAGGUGGUAUCCAGAACAAGUUGUUCUUUCACCUUGCCAGGGACAGAGGUUAGGCUGACUGGUCUGGAUGGUAUAGUUUGUAUCUGCUAUACAACUUCUGCCGAUAUUUUAGUUUUUACAAGAGCCAGUUCUUCUUUAAGCUGAGAGCUCUGUUCAUUUGCCAGGCAGCAGGAGGAGGCUGAUCUCACUAUGUCUGACAGAAACUACUCAAGCCCACAGUUUUCAUUUUCUGGUUUCAACUACUUAUCUUAUGUUUGAGAAAAUAUAAUUAUGGAUUGUGAUCAUUUGUUUCCUGGAAAGCAAAACUCUGCUACUGUAUCAAAGCUGACUCAGCAACUCACAUCUGGUUUUAAUAUGCUCAUGCAAACCAAAAUGGGAACAUAACAGUCUAUCUUAGAGCAUGCAAAAUCAUAAAAAUGGAUAAUGAUCGUAAGAGUCCUAAUCUUCUGGAGAACAUUUACUUUGACUAAUUUUCCCAGUGUCCAGAGGGUAGUGUGGUUGAGAAGUAUUUCAAUUCUGUUAAAACAAAACAAAACAAACAAACAAAAAAAAACAAUCCCCCCAAAAGAUAAGAAUUUUCCUGUUCUUCCAGGAAUAUUAUUUCUUAGAAAUUGGGAAUUUCAAUGAUGUAAAAUGCUGGAAUGAAAAACUAUUUUCAUGGGAAAACUUCCAAGAAGGAACUGUCCUUUAAAUAAGAAUACAUAUGACUUCAUGCAUAUUGUUAUUGAACUCUUCAAAUUGUCCAAAGUCCACACUUCAAGAAUGACAGUAGUCUGAAAAAUGUGUCAGUAAGAAAAGCAUUAUGUGGCUCUGUGUUUAUUGUAUUCUCAUGCUUUCUCUAUCUAAAAUGCUCAGUUUAACUUGGCGGGUAACUCUGGGAGUUAAAUUGACAGGGCUGAAUCAGAGUCACAGAGUCAAAGGAUAAUGCAGGUGCGAAGCCUUUACUCACAAUAUCUCUAGCCUAACCUCCUGUUCAAAGCCAGGUCACUUCAUGCUCAAACGAACUGCUCAGGGCAGUAUCAGAUGAACACUCCAAAGAUGAGGACUGUACUAACUCAUGCGGCAGUGUGCUCCAUUGCUUAGGACAGAAUGAAGGUUUCAAGACAAAAUUGUGUUACUGUCACUGCAUUGGGUGUACAUGGCAAGGUUUUGGUAGCCUGGGGGCUGCGGGAGUGAGAAAAUGUGAACGAAACAACCUUCAGACCCCAAAGGUAAGUGAAGAAGGAGGUGCUCCAGGCACUAGAAUAGGUUCUACUGCAGCCAGUGGAGAAGACUAUAGUGAAAAAGGCUAUUUUUCUGCAGCCCAUGGAGGACCAUGAUGGAGCUGAUAUCCACUCUGCAACCCAUAGAGAACCACAUCAGAGGUGCAGUUUUAUUCCCCCCACUGUCCUGUUGAGCACAGACAGUGAGUGAGUGGCAUAGUGUGCAUCUGGCAAACAGCCAAGGUCAACCCAACAGUCAUAGAGCUUAGCUAGGCAUCAGUAGCUGAUAGCAGCAGUAAUUCAAUUAACACUCCAGCAGGUUAAUCUCUUAAAAGAAAUAUAGCAAAAUUCCUGCCUACUCAGUCAGCUAUUUUCAUUUUAGAAGGUAACAGCCCUAGAAUGAGGGAAAAUGCAGAGCCAAAAAUCAUCAUUAAAAGUUGUGGGAUUUUUUUUUUCCUGUCUUUUGGAACAGUAUCUGAGUAUGAAAAGAAUGAAUUAUAACUCAUUUCUAAAGAAACAAUCUAUCACAAUAGAUACUUAGGAACACUGAGGAAGGUGGUAAUAGGAAGAGAAAUUUAGUCAUUGCAUGUAAAUAUUUUGCGUCAGUAUAUGUUCUGUAAUUUAGACAUAUCUAUGGAUUGCUUACUUUAAAAGGAGCAACUUUUGAAUUCUGACUUAAUUUUAGCUCUUGCUGAAAGAAAGAUGGAAUGAAAUCUGUGCAUGAGCAGGUACAUGCACAAAAAAGAAGAACAGAGGUGCCCAGACAGUCAGCAUGUGGCUGGGAGGCUGAAAGAAAACCAACAUUUCUUUGGGCAGACUGGUACAUGUACAUGAAACUUGGGCAGACAGCUAAGUGGUCACCUUGCCAUAACAAACUGCUCAUAUCCCUGUUUGGACAAAUGGUAAUGAGUGCUACUGUGUGUGUGUAAAGUUAGAAGCUGUUUAUUAAAUCACUCAUCCCAAACUGUUGUUUUAAACGUGCCAUAUAGGUAGUGGCAGCUUCACAAAUGAUCAGUAGUCAUCACUGGCUAAUCCAUCUCACCAACAUGCCAGCUGAGCAGUAAGCAGCAUCCAUGGCUGCAGCAUUUUUAUUCCUUCUCUGCCUGCCAAUAAGGGUUUAUGGGAUAGAGAAAAUAAAUAAUGAUCUUUGCAUUUCAUUCUAACCACAGAAUGUGUUCUAGUGCUUUGUUCAAUCCAAUUUUAAAAUUCUCAUGAGAUAGAGCUACAACUAAAAAUCCAAGCCCAGCGGGUAGCUAUUCCACAGCCUAUUAGAACUUGCUAUAAUUUUUCUUCUAGAUAUUCAAGACUUUGUUUUGGAAUUCUCCGUGGACUUCAUUAGACUUAAUUGUCCCCUUCUUUCACUUAUCAUUGUGGUUGGUAGAAGUUCAACUCCUUUUUAACAUGAAAGAGGCUUAGCUAUAUACUUAAUACCCAAUUUUAAAAUAAAAAAUAAGAAUGCAGUCCAAAACUUGUCUAAGGAAGGACUAUGAACAAGUAUACUACUUUCUAUGUCAUCUGUCAGUGUAAAUCUCUUGCUCCCCAUCUGUGCUGUCUGAAGGUUAUAUCAGUCAAAUUGUAAUGUCUUUGGACAGUAGACAUCCCUCUAAAGAUGGUGUUUCAAGAAAUAUUACGUAUUAAAAGGUUAAAAAAUAAGAAAACAGUAGCAGUGGAGAGAGAAAAAAGUUCUCCCGUCAGGCCAAUUGAUUCUAAAAGCAGGGUCACUGAAUGUAGCAUUAUUUCUGCUGGUCAUGUUUCUUUCCUACCAGAGCUCCAAAGUAAGCUAACUGUGUAAGCAGGAUUGAAAUACACAACCCCCUUGUGACUGGAAGCAGUAAAGCAUUCUCCACUUGCGGUUUUCUUCAAAUGAGCCUGCAUGGAAUAUGUGUUUGAAAACAGUGAAACUCUUUAUUAAUCAAGUACUUCACUUGCCAUGCCAGCAUAAAGUUUCAUUUAUGUCAGAACUCCCUUAAAAAUGGUUUGGAGUAGUGUCUUGUACACAGAGCUUCAACAGAAGAAAUAUUUUUGGAAUUGUAAAUACAAUAAUCAAGGCAAAUAUUUGCCCAGUUUGAGAAGCUGCUGUAAGAUCUUCAAUCAUAGGUUACAGUUCUGACAUUUUAUUUUGGUUUCCUACUGUAUGGAAAUGGGCAGACUGUACAGCUCUGCAUCCAAAAUGCAGCAUCAGACAAGCCAUCCUAAUGACUAGAGGAUUACCAUAUUUUGUGCUCAGAAGAAAUAUAUCACAACAAGGAAACCAAAAUCUAGAUAUCCCAAUAAGGAGAAGCUGCAAAAAGGAAACCAAGAGUUUCAUGUCAGUUCAUUGUUAACUCAAGGCUUGUUGUCCCGUGUACAGAAUCUCUUUGAAAAUUUAGUUAACUAUAUAGCUAAAAGAGCUUUAAAGAGAUGCAUGUUUUUUCAUGAAUGUGACUCCUAGCAUUCUGUAUGGGAACUGCUGAAUCAGGGCCUGAACCUCUGACUGAUCACCUGAGGCGAGCACUGGGUCAGCCUCGGGAGCACAGCUGAAGGCAAUUCACCUGUGCUGCCGGAAGCGGUGGAGCCUGGCUGCACCUCUCCUAGACCCAUUUAAGAGCUGACUACCAGUAGGGAAGGAUCUGUUCUGGAGAUCCACUCCACUAGAGUUUCCUAUGUGAGCCCAGGAUGCGGGUGCGCCUUCUGAAUUGGUCACACAGCCCCAGCCAGGCUCUUAAUGGAAUGAUGACACUAACGCUGCAACAAUAGAAAGGGCUCCAGGGAUGCUGGCUGUAGAGCAGAGGUGCAGGGUGAUGUCCAGAACAAAGAAAGUCUGUGGUGUUUAUCUGUAUGUGUGGUCCAGCUCCCAGCUGUGUUCUAAGUCAACUGGUUUCAUGCUGGAAUGAGCUGAACUUCUCAUCAUGGAAGAGGAAAAACAAUGAGCCCAGGAAUAUGGCAUGAGGCUGUGACAUCUCUCGGGUCACACCGGCAGUAUUUUAAGGCAAGUAAAGUAGCACAGUUUUCUUGCAAUAAGGGAGUAUUUUGAUUUGUGGAAA
Long non-coding RNA from Lagopus muta (rock ptarmigan), 5009 nucleotides. RefSeq lists it as uncharacterized. The transcript is spliced from 3 exons. The record is from RefSeq and is a predicted model, not a curated record. NCBI's taxonomy places the organism in Eukaryota, Metazoa, Chordata, Aves, Galliformes, Phasianidae.